CCUACGGGGGGCUGCAGUGGGGAAUAUUGGACAAUGGGGGGAACCCUGAUCCAGCCAUGCCGCGUGUGUGAAGAAGGCCCUCGGGUUGUAAAGCACUUUCAGUGAGGAAGAACGCCUGGUGGUUAAUACCCAUCAGGAAAGACAUCACUCACAGAAGAAGCACCGGCUAACUCCGUGCCAGCAGCCGCGGUAAUACGGAGGGUGCGAGCGUUAAUCGGAAUUACUGGGCGUAAAGCGCGCGUAGGUGGCUUGAUAAGCCGGUUGUGAAAGCCCCGGGCUCAACCUGGGAACGGCAUCCGGAACUGUCAAGCUAGAGCGCAGGAGAGGAAGGUAGAAUUCCCGGUGUAGCGGUGAAAUGCGUAGAGAUCGGGAGGAAUACCAGUGGCGAAGGCGGCCUUCUGGACUGACACUGACACUGAGGUGCGAAAGCGUGGGUAGCAAACAGGAUUAGAUACCCUAGUAGUC
RNAcentral lists this ribosomal RNA (465 nucleotides) under Vreelandella stevensii. Its description in RNAcentral is "partial 16S ribosomal RNA". It matches the Rfam family "Bacterial small subunit ribosomal RNA", at positions 338 to 795 of the family's 1533-position model. The record is from RNAcentral. Lineage: Bacteria; Pseudomonadati; Pseudomonadota; Gammaproteobacteria; Oceanospirillales; Halomonadaceae.